AGUAACACGUGGAUAACCUACCUAUAAGACUGGGAUAACUUCGGGAAACCGGAGCUAAUACCUGAUAAUAUUUUGAACCGCAUGGUUCAAAAGUGAAAGACGGUCUUGCUGUCACUUAUAGAUGGAUCCGCGCUGCAUUAGCUAGUUGGUAAGGUAACGGCUUACCAAGGCAACGAUGCAUAGCCGACCUGAGAGGGUGAUCGGCCACACUGGGACUGAGACACGGCCCAG
This 231-nucleotide ribosomal RNA is filed under the name uncultured Staphylococcus sp. RNAcentral's name for it is "partial 16S ribosomal RNA". It matches the Rfam family "Bacterial small subunit ribosomal RNA", at positions 109 to 334 of the family's 1533-position model. Lineage: Bacteria; Bacillati; Bacillota; Bacilli; Caryophanales; Staphylococcaceae. The record is from RNAcentral.